GACGAACGCUGGCGGCGUGCCUAAUACAUGCAAGUAGAACGCUGAAGAGAGGAGCUUGCUCUUCUUGGAUGAGUUGCGAACGGGUGAGUAACGCGUAGGUAACCCGCCUUGUAGCGGGGGAUAACUAUUGGAAACGAUAGCUAAUACCGCAUAACAAUGGAUGACACAUGUCAUUUAUUUGAAAGGGGCAAUUGCUCCACUACAAGAUGGACCUGCGUUGUAUUAGCUAGUAGGUGAGGUAACGGCUCACCUAGGCGACGAUACAUAGCCGACCUGAGAGGGUGAUCGGCCACACUGGGACUGAGACACGGCCCAGACUCCUACGGGAGGCAGCAGUAGGGAAUCUUCGGCAAUGGGGGCAACCCUGACCGAGCAACGCCGCGUGAGUGAAGAAGGUUUUCGGAUCGUAAAGCUCUGUUGUAAGUCAAGAACGAGUGUGAGAGUGGAAAAUUCACACUGUGACGGUAGCUUACCAGAAAGGGACGGCUAACUACGUGCCAGCAGCCGCGGUAAUACGUAGGUCCCGAGCGUUGUCCGGAUUUAUUGGGCGUAAAGCGAGCGCAGGCGGUUUGAUAAGUCUGAAGUUAAAGGCUGUGGCUCAACCAUAGUUCGCUUUGGAAACUGUCAAACUUGAGUGCAGAAGGGGAGAGUGGAAUUCCAUGUGUAGCGGUGAAAUGCGUAGAUAUAUGGAGGAACACCGGUGGCGAAAGCGGCUCUCUGGUCUGUAACUGACGCUGAGGCUCGAAAGCGUGGGGAGCGAACAGGAUUAGAUACCCUGGUAGUCCACGCCGUAAACGAUGAGUGCUAGGUGUUGGAUCCUUUCCGGGAUUCAGUGCCGCAGCUAACGCAUUAAGCACUCCGCCUGGGGAGUACGACCGCAAGGUUGAAACUCAAAGGAAUUGACGGGGGCCCGCACAAGCGGUGGAGCAUGUGGUUUAAUUCGAAGCAACGCGAAGAACCUUACCAGGUCUUGACAUCCCGAUGCUAUUUCUAGAGAUAGAAAGUUACUUCGGUACAUCGGUGACAGGUGGUGCAUGGUUGUCGUCAGCUCGUGUCGUGAGAUGUUGGGUUAAGUCCCGCAACGAGCGCAACCCCUAUUGUUAGUUGCCAUCAUUCAGUUGGGCACUCUAGCGAGACUGCCGGUAAUAAACCGGAGGAAGGUGGGGAUGACGUCAAAUCAUCAUGCCCCUUAUGACCUGGGCUACACACGUGCUACAAUGGUUGGUACAACGAGUUGCGAGUCGGUGACGGCAAGCUAAUCUCUUAAAGCCAAUCUCAGUUCGGAUUGUAGGCUGCAACUCGCCUACAUGAAGUCGGAAUCGCUAGUAAUCGCGGAUCAGCACGCCGCGGUGAAUACGUUCCCGGGCCU
RNAcentral lists this ribosomal RNA (1369 nucleotides) under uncultured bacterium. RNAcentral describes it as "bacterial SSU rRNA". It matches the Rfam family "Bacterial small subunit ribosomal RNA", at positions 28 to 1381 of the family's 1533-position model. The record is from RNAcentral.